This 175-nucleotide non-coding RNA is filed under the name unclassified sequences. The record is from Rfam.
CUGACUGCGUGCGCGGCUCUCCAUGACUCAGCCCCGUACAGCAUUAACAAGGAGGAAUAUCAAUUUCCCUGAGACUCAGGGUGCGGCAGUGUGGAGACCUGUCGUAAUGCGGGAGGCGAUGCCCCCGCGAGGCGGUCAGGGCGGAGGCCCGGCAGCCAGAGUCGGCAGUAUGGCA